Sinocyclocheilus grahami is the source of this 3757-nucleotide RNA transcript. It is a transcript of the gene named microtubule-associated protein tau-like, with no coding region annotated. NCBI's taxonomy places the organism in Eukaryota, Metazoa, Chordata, Actinopteri, Cypriniformes, Cyprinidae. The transcript has 14 exons. The record is from RefSeq and is a predicted model, not a curated record.
CGCGAUAGAAACGGCAGGUCUCUUCGUGCGCUCCGCUCAGUGAGCGACUGCAGCUGGAGGAGAGACAAUAACAGCGACGCGUGCACAGUAUCCUCAUUUGGACUUGCUAUGGACCAGCAGCACGAUUUAUUGAGCUCCUCGCCCAAUAGCCACACGGCUCACUACAACUCUAGCGAUACCAUGGCAACCUCCCUUUCUGGAAUGACCAUCAACGAUCAUCACCAUGGCAACCAGUUCCAUAAGGAGAAUGGAAUUGCGGUGGGGCUUGUGAGACCAGGGGACUGUCCAAUGAAAGUGCGUGGCUUAUAUUUCCCUAGUUUACAGCCUUCACUAGUGCACACUUUCUCCCCUUUUGCUCUUCCUGUAAUUCCACACACAAGGAGGAAACACUGCUCAGAGCAUCUGCCACCAAUAAAUGGCAGAUACUGCAAUGGAACAGCAGAGAAAGAGUUUUCAGAAGAAAGGGUGGAUGUUGAGCUCAGUAGUGCUGAAGGCACCUCCUCUGCUGAGGAGAAGCAGUGUGAAAGCCCCCAAGAUUCAAGACAGGAAGAGAAAGAAGAUCAGUCCCAGCCUGCCGUGGAAGUGGCGAGCGCUGGAGGAACGGCACCCGCAGCUCAGUCCAAGACCAAUGGUGAUGCAGAGAAGAGGGCUAGCGUUAGACCUCAUGCUGCCGGUUCAAAGAUUCCUGCCAUGACUGCAGUUGCCAAAAAUGGAAAAGACUCUCCUAAGACCCCGGAGACCAGUGGGCACAGCAGCCCCGGCACUCCCAAAUCCCCUGCCAGCAAGGCUGCGGGUGGCAAGCCUCCAAGCACAGGAAAUGAAAUCAAGAAGGUCGCAGUGAUUCGCUCGACCCCUAAAUCUCCAAAGAACCGUUCACCCACAUCACUGUCGGCCGCUGCCCCCCUCCCUGAUCUGAAGAGCAUACGCUCCAAAGUCGGCUCCACUGACAACUUGAAGCACCAGCCCGGAGGCGGCCGGGUACAAAUUCUUGAUCAGAAGGUGGAUUUCAGUAAUGUUCCGUCUAAGUGUGGCUCCAAAGCCAACCUCAGGCAUGUACCAGGAGGUGGAAAUGUGCAAAUCCUCCACAAAAAGAUUGACCUGACCAAUGUGCAGUCAAAGUGUGGAUCGAAAGUCAACAUUCGCCACAAACCAGGUGGAGGAAACAUUGAGAUCAGGUCUGAGAAGCUUGAAUUCAGGGCUCAGUCAAAGGUGGGAUCUAUGGACAACAUUAAACACACACCUGGAGGAGGCAACAGGAGGAUUGAGUCGCAAAAACUGAUGUUCCGUGAGCAGGCCAAAGCGCGAACCGACCAUGGCGCAGAAAUCGUGUCUCUAGAGGAGUCACCACAUGGCCUGAGCACCGUCUCGUCUUCUGGCAGCAUCAACAUGGCAGACCCGCCACAGCUUUCCACCCUCGCUGACCAGGUGUCUGCAUCGCUGGCCCAGCAGGGCUUGUGAUUGGACCAUACCGCCCCCUCCCAUCCACAUACCUGAUGGUAUUCUAACCUCUCUCUGAAAGUCAUUUUGUGGCCCAGAAAACAACGCCAAGUAACGUUUAGCAGUCACUGUUUGACUUCUUGUUAUGUAUGAAUUUGCCUGUUCACUCGCCCUUCGCUUUAAGGCAGUGCCCACUUUGGGAAUUUAACAAUUGGAAAUUUCCUCCAGCUGCCCUCCCUUGACUAUAUUUAGUAGCACAAAAUUACUUUCAUGUAUUUGUAUGGCUUUUAUUGACCAUUAUAUAUUUCCUUACGCAUACCAUUUUCUUGGUUACCACUGGAUUGAGGACAGUUCAUACCGAACCCAUUUUCACUUUCAGAGAGGAUUGUUCUCAUUUUGAAAUCAGGUUAAAUUUAGAUUGAGAUUAUGAAUAAGAUGCUUAGCAGUGCUUAAAAUGAAAAUUAGAGCAUGGUAUCUUGACUUUGAGAAAGAAAGAAACUUAAAGCCCCACAGUUCACGUUUGAAAUGAUUUGCAAGGCUUAUGUGAAGAAAGACAGGUGCAUAACAGCUUUGUGCAGAAAGGUGAAAGCCGUUUAGUUCUUUUCAAUCUCUCGAAUGUGCUGUCGAUCAGAGAUUACACUUCACGUCUACAAUGACCAUGACAUUCAGAGUGCUUCAUAAGGAAACGUUCCCUACAGUAUUAUUCUGUGGAUGAAUAUGGGAUGUUUAUGAUAUGAAAACACUUUUUUUUGUGUCUUAAAAUGUAGAUUUGAAUUAUGUCAGUGCUUUUUUUGUUUGCUUGUUCUUUAACUUGACAAUUAACAGAGCACUGCAGCUGCAUUUUUAUUUUUUAACAUAAACAUAAAAUAAUCUUAAAAUUGCAGCUACGCGUUUGAACCAAGAUGGACGUCUGCUGUUUUGGACAGUUUGAUUGGUGACACUACAAUGAGGUUCAAUUUGUUCGCUUUAGGCAUCAUGAAAUAACAAAUAAUACUUUUACAUCAUUUAUUAAUCUCGAUAAAUGUUCUUUUCUACAUAUACUAAUGCAUUUUAACAUUUAUUUACGAACUAAUAAAUUGACCAGGAUUAAAAAUUGCUGUAAAAAUGGCAUUUUUGUUUUUUUUUGGUUUAAAAUACAUUGACUAAUAUUAUUGUAAAGUGUUAUUGUUUUAUUAAUGAUAAGCUACAUGUGAGAAAUCUGGACAUUAUUUGAAAUAUCUUGUGGAAAAAAACAACCUAUGCACCUGUAAACUUUCUCCAUAAUACUGCCAACAGUUCCUCUCAUUCUCAACAUCUAGCUCUAGUUGAGAAAGAAUUUAUGAGAUGAAUUGCAAAACUGUUCUUCUUCAGGCACACAUUGUAUUAUAAAUUUGCCUACUACAUUUACAAUAUUGAGUAUUGCAUUCUUCACGAAAAGCGUCACUCGAGCACAAGCAUGCUGUUAAACUUUGAUCUGACCACAUCAUCCGCUUCCACUUUAUAGCUGUAAAAUGUUAAGUCAAGGUAUUCUAUUUUACUGAAUGAAUGAUGUAAUGACCUCAGCCAAUCAUAUGGCUUAAAUUCUUUCCCCAGCACUGCACUAUCGCAGAAUGUUUACUAAGCUUUGAACCACUUCACACUCUCUUUGCUCCUUGCAUGCAUUUCAUGUAAGCAGCCCGAGAUACUGCGUUGCCUCUUUCACGCUUACUUGCGUAUAUCCCGUAAUCGCUGAUGUGCUUAUUAGGAAUCUUUGUAGAUAGUAGUGAAAAAGAGCACUACUCAGAUGGCAACCCCUGUUUCUUUGUGUUGGAGAUGGAGCCGUGUAUCUACCAUUAGAUAUUUAAUGUAUGUUUAUUGUAUGUUUAUGACUGUAUGUUUAUAUGAGGACUUGAAGAGAUUAAAAAAAAAUAAGCAGUGAAGUUCAGAAACCAUGCCUGCAACAUUUUAAUCUGCAUGCUGAGUUUUUACAUGGAUUAGCAACAUGUUUCUGAACGUUUUCUGACUAGGGUGUUUUUGGGAAGGUUGGGAGAGCUUGGAUAUGGGAUAAGCUGUUUGUUAUGGUUGUAAUGUUGUGUUGAGGGGGGAAGUGAGCAUUUAGCAGACAAGAAGAGGGAAAGAAAGUCAGUCGGUCCUUUGGUUUAAACGUCUCUCUCUGUAGCACACCUGCAACAUAGUUCUGGGUGCCAUCCUGUUUUCAUUGACUCCAUACACCAUUUUUGCAGUUGUAAAUUUUAGCUUGGGAACUGUGGUUGUCAAUAUUGUUUGUGUUUUAUUAUUAACUGGUUUUCAAUGAUUCUUGUUGAUGUACACGUGAAUUUGGAAAUAAAGGAUAUUAACCAAU